GGGCUCAAAAUAGCCAGUUUACGUGGGAAAAGAGGAAACUCAGAAAAAUGCAUGCUAAGGAAAAAGAGCCUGUGUGUUUUAAGUAUGCCUGGAGCCCAAGCGAUUAUUGCUUCCAACAUGGAUUCACCCAUGCUCACUUUAAUAAAACUACACCAUGACCACCCUGGAAGAGCCACAUGGAAAGACCCUGAGCAGCAAAGGCUGAUACAUCUAAGCACCUGCAAGUCAACGUCUCUAACCAGUUGAAGAGUGAGAGAGACAGUCUUCAGUUCAAUGACAAAUACAAAAAACAGAAGUUUAUAACCACAUGUAGAAGUUUUGAAAUCAUAAUAAAAGCCAACUGAAUGAA
This is a long non-coding RNA of Cynocephalus volans (Philippine flying lemur), 349 nucleotides long. RefSeq lists it as uncharacterized. NCBI's taxonomy places the organism in Eukaryota, Metazoa, Chordata, Mammalia, Dermoptera, Cynocephalidae. The transcript has 2 exons. The record is from RefSeq and is a predicted model, not a curated record.